This 343-nucleotide unclassified non-coding RNA is filed under the name soil metagenome. RNAcentral describes it as "partial contains 5.8S ribosomal RNA, internal transcribed spacer 2, and large subunit ribosomal RNA". The stretch from base 1 to 120 matches the Rfam family "5.8S ribosomal RNA", at positions 35 to 154 of the family's 154-position model. The record is from RNAcentral.
GAUGAAGAACGCAGCGAAAUGCGAUAAGUAAUGUGAAAUGCAGAAUUCAGUGAAUCAUCGAAUCUUUGAACGCACAUUGCGCCCGCUAGUAUUCUGGCGGGCAUGCCUGUCCGAGCGUCAUUUCAACCCUCAAGCCCCCGGGCUUGGUGUUGGGGAUCGGCGAGCCUCCGCGCCCGCCGUCCCCUAAAUCUAGUGGCGGUCUCGCUGUAGCUUCCUCUGCGUAGUAGCACACCUCGCACUGGGAAACAGCGCGGCCACGCCGUUAAACCCCCAACUUCUGAACGUUUGACCUCGGAUCAGGUAGGAAUACCCGCUGAACUUAAGCAUAUCAAUAAGCGGAGGA